RNAcentral lists this long non-coding RNA (629 nucleotides) under Numida meleagris (helmeted guineafowl). RNAcentral's name for it is "lncRNA (ENSNMEG00000001522.1)". The record is from RNAcentral. Lineage: Eukaryota; Metazoa; Chordata; Aves; Galliformes; Numididae.
AAGUCCUCCAGCCCCACAACUAGGUCCUCCAGCCCCACCCUCUGGUCCUCCAGCCCCACACCCAAGUCCUCCAACGCCAUUCUUUGGUCCUCCAGCCCCACACCCGAGUCCUCCAGCCCCUUCCCCAAGUCCUCCACCCCCACCUAAGUCCUCCAGCCCCGCACCCUGGUCCUCCAGCCCCACGCUUUGGUCCUCCAGCCCCACACCCAAGUCCUCCAACACCAUUCUUUGGUCCUCCAGGGCCUCCCCCAAGUCCUCCACUCCCCCCCAAGUCCUCCAGCCCCACCCUUUGGUCCUCCAGCCCCACUCCCGAGUCCUCCAGCCCCACCCCGAAGUCCUCCAGCCCCACAACUAAGUCCUCCAGACCCCACAUUCCUGCCCCACACAUUCCAACCCCACACAUCCAGUACCACACAUCCCGCCCCACACAUCCAGCCCCAUAGAUCCGGACCCACACAUCCGUCCCACACAUUCCUUCCCCACACAUCCACCCCACACAUCCAGUCCCACACAUCCAGCCCCACACAUUCCAGGCCCCACACAUUCCCGCCCCACACAUCCAGCCCCAUGGAUCCGGACCCACACAUGCAGCCCCACACAUCCAGCCCCACACAUUCCUGGACCCACAC